RNA transcript from Acipenser ruthenus (sterlet), 1229 nucleotides. RefSeq lists it as uncharacterized. The record is from RefSeq and is a predicted model, not a curated record. The transcript is spliced from 7 exons. NCBI's taxonomy places the organism in Eukaryota, Metazoa, Chordata, Actinopteri, Acipenseriformes, Acipenseridae.
CAGGAAAUGAAAACGUGUCUGCACAAAAAAAAAUGGUCACAAAUUAAACAAAAUAGAAAACCCGUUUUAAAAGUAAAUUGCAAUUAAAACAGCCCGAAUAACCACGGAGAAACUAAGAAAAGAACAAAUAGGUGAAAGUACGGUAACGUUACAGAAGCAGUGUCUGUGUAGCCUGAGUCUUUUUUCUGCCGUAAAUAGUUAGUAUUUAAACCAAUGUUUGCAUCUGAAGUACAUUUCCAAUAAGAUGGUAUUCGCGGAGUUGAGUCUCCGUCUAAACGAUGUUGAAUACAAAAACUGGCUGAAAGCGGGUUAUUGCCUUUUAAAACUGAGAGACGGGUUGCAAAGGGUUUGUGACUAACGAAAUGAGAUCCUUCCACCAAAAACUGUCAAGGAAUAACCCCGUGCUCCGGAGAGGGCAACGGUGUGCAAACUACUGCAAACCUCGAGGGAACCAGCAUUUCUUACUCGCUCCAUUUCCAAUCUGCCUGUUCAUUGUGUGACUAGUGGAAGAAGGAGGUUUUGAAACACCACACUAAUCGGGGAGGAGUCAUUAACUGGGGCAACUGCAAACCCUGGCUGUGGCCCUCUCAGCACUGGGAGCUGGCGAAGGCCUACAUGCCUCGCGGACAGGCAGACGUUCCGGGUCCGGAGAAAUGCGACGCUGCGGCGCUGCUCAACCUCAUCAACUUCUGCGACCACUUCAGCUUCGUCAACCAGCACAAAGUCAGAGAGGUAAUAAAAAGCCGCAAUGAGCUGAUGCAUUCCUGUGAAAUGAAGGUGUCAUAGUGGCUGUGUCAGUAUGAAAGAAAGAUUGAGGAUCUGCUUCUAGAACUGAAACACAUACCAGAAGUGGAAGCGGCGGGGAGAGACAUCAGUGAGGACCUCACUGAUUUACACAGACUGAGGGACUUUUUGAAGAGCAACAAGGACCUGGAAGACAGAUUUCAGGCUGAGCUGCUUGAGGUGGAGUCCCUGGAGUAUCAACUGAAUCAGCCAGGAGACAGGGAGACAGAGGAGCAAGCUCUGGAAGAGGACACAGAUGAUGUCCCACAGAAAAAGAUGAAAAUUAAAAAUUAAGUUUCAAGGUGCUCUGUGUUGCUGUUCAAGAAUGAAUAAUCCAGCAGCAUAGAUCUGAAAAGCAGAACCACUGUGGGGGACAUGAUUUCAAGAUUGCUUACUUUUAAUCCACCCUUUUUUUCUGUAAUACCAGUACUAAUAAAUCUAUUUGA